Molecule: ribosomal RNA, 474 nt
Filed under: Triticum aestivum (bread wheat)
Lineage: Eukaryota; Viridiplantae; Streptophyta; Magnoliopsida; Poales; Poaceae
Description: partial small subunit ribosomal RNA
Source: RNAcentral
AUGGGCAACCCCGUCGCGGCGGCCAUCACGCACGUGCUGCACAACAAGCAGGAGUUCCCCCUCGCAGCCGGCGUCGACGACCUGCUCGUCGUCUCCAUCGGCUCCUGGUCCUCCUCCGGCGGCACGGCCUCUGGCUCCGCCACCCCGUCCGCCGGCUGGCGCACACCGAUCCCCCCGCGCUCGCCGUCCCCCAUCGAAAUGGUCCGCCUCACCGCCGAGGGCAUCGCCGACAUGGUCGACCAGGCCGUCGCCAUGGCGUUCGGCCAAACCUGCGGCCGCAACUACAUGCGCAUCCAGGCAGCGGCGCCGACGCACUCGAUCAAGGCACUCCGGUCGCUGGAGGCUUGGAAGGUGGUGGCGAUCGCGGACGGGAUGCUGACGACAAGAAUGGGGUCGGGGUCGCUCCACCUCCUCCUUGUCUCCGCGACCGCCCGGUCCGCGGCGACGGGAGCCGGGCAUGGUCCAGAGGGCUGA